GGGCCCUUAGCUCAGUUGGUUAGAGCAUCCGACUCAUAAUCGGCAGGUCGUCGGUUCGAGCCCGACAGGGCCCACCA
RNAcentral lists this transfer RNA (77 nucleotides) under Verrucomicrobiota bacterium. RNAcentral's name for it is "Verrucomicrobia bacterium (marine metagenome) tRNA-Ile". It matches the Rfam family "tRNA". Rfam says of the family: Transfer RNA (tRNA) molecules are approximately 80 nucleotides in length. Their secondary structure includes four short double-helical elements and three loops (D, anti-codon, and T loops). Further hydrogen bonds mediate the characteristic L-shaped molecular structure. tRNAs have two regions of fundamental functional importance: the anti-codon, which is responsible for specific mRNA codon recognition, and the 3' end, to which the tRNAs corresponding amino acid is attached (by aminoacyl-tRNA synthetases). tRNAs cope with the degeneracy of the genetic code in two manners: having more than one tRNA (with a specific anti-codon) for a particular amino acid; and 'wobble' base-pairing, i.e. permitting non-standard base-pairing at the 3rd anti-codon position. Lineage: Bacteria; Pseudomonadati; Verrucomicrobiota. The record is from RNAcentral.